GGUGCUGGAAUUGGUAGACAGGCCAGAUUGAGGGUCUGGUGGGCGAUUCCAAGCCCGUGGAGGUUCGAGUCCUCUCCUGGGCA
This 83-nucleotide transfer RNA is filed under the name Bryobacteraceae bacterium. RNAcentral describes it as "tRNA-Leu". It matches the Rfam family "tRNA". Rfam says of the family: Transfer RNA (tRNA) molecules are approximately 80 nucleotides in length. Their secondary structure includes four short double-helical elements and three loops (D, anti-codon, and T loops). Further hydrogen bonds mediate the characteristic L-shaped molecular structure. tRNAs have two regions of fundamental functional importance: the anti-codon, which is responsible for specific mRNA codon recognition, and the 3' end, to which the tRNAs corresponding amino acid is attached (by aminoacyl-tRNA synthetases). tRNAs cope with the degeneracy of the genetic code in two manners: having more than one tRNA (with a specific anti-codon) for a particular amino acid; and 'wobble' base-pairing, i.e. permitting non-standard base-pairing at the 3rd anti-codon position. Lineage: Bacteria; Pseudomonadati; Acidobacteriota; Terriglobia; Bryobacterales; Bryobacteraceae. The record is from RNAcentral.